CUCGUAGGCGGCCAACUAAGUCAGACGUGAAAUCCCUCGGCUUAACCGGGGAACUGCGUCUGAUACUGGAUGGCUUGAGUUUGGGAGAGGGAUGCGGAAUUCCAGGUGUAGCGGUGAAAUGCGUAGAUAUCUGGAGGAACACCGGUGGCGAAGGCGGCAUCCUGGACCAACACUGACGCUGAUGAGCGAAAGCCAGGGAGCAAACG
RNAcentral lists this ribosomal RNA (206 nucleotides) under uncultured bacterium. Its description in RNAcentral is "partial 16S ribosomal RNA". It matches the Rfam family "Bacterial small subunit ribosomal RNA", at positions 568 to 774 of the family's 1533-position model. The record is from RNAcentral.